AAAUUGAAGAGUUUGAUCAUGGCUCAGAUUGAACGCUGGCGGCAGGCCUAACACAUGCAAGUCGAACGGUAACAGGAAACAGCUUGCUGUUUCGCUGACGAGUGGCGGACGGGUGAGUAAUGUCUGGGAAACUGCCUGAUGGAGGGGGAUAACUACUGGAAACGGUAGCUAAUACCGCAUAACGUCGCAAGACCAAAGAGGGGGACCCUCGGGCCUCUUGCCAUCGGAUGUGCCCAGAUGGGAUUAGCUUGUUGGUGGGGUAACGGCUCACCAAGGCGACGAUCCCUAGCUGGUCUGAGAGGAUGACCAGCCACACUGGAACUGAGACACGGUCCAGACUCCUACGGGAGGCAGCAGUGGGGAAUAUUGCACAAUGGGCGCAAGCCUGAUGCAGCCAUGCCGCGUGUAUGAAGAAGGCCUUCGGGUUGUAAAGUACUUUCAGCGGGG
RNAcentral lists this ribosomal RNA (447 nucleotides) under Escherichia coli. Its description in RNAcentral is "bacterial SSU rRNA". It matches the Rfam family "Bacterial small subunit ribosomal RNA", at positions 1 to 444 of the family's 1533-position model. The record is from RNAcentral. Lineage: Bacteria; Pseudomonadati; Pseudomonadota; Gammaproteobacteria; Enterobacterales; Enterobacteriaceae.